Molecule: transfer-messenger RNA, 275 nt
Filed under: Endomicrobium sp.
Lineage: Bacteria; Pseudomonadati; Elusimicrobiota; Endomicrobiia; Endomicrobiales; Endomicrobiaceae
Rfam family: transfer-messenger RNA
About the family: Bacterial tmRNA, also known as 10Sa RNA or SsrA, is named for its dual tRNA and mRNA-like properties.
Source: RNAcentral
GGGGGUGCCUAUAGGAUUCGACGGAAUUAUCAACGGUGAAAUUGCAGGUCGGAGAUAGUCGAUGGCUCCGUUAAAAAUCGACUAAAAAAUAAAUAACAACAAUAUUAAUAGAGAUACUUUUACUGUAAAUAGUAGUAGUGCUUUGCCAUUAGCUGCUUAGUUUUAAUUUUAGUUUUAGUUUUAGUUUGUAAAAUUGUUGUAUUAAAGUAAAAACCUGUAUAAAAUUUCAUUAAAAUAAGUUUCGGACGCGGGUUCGAUUCCCGCCACCUCCAGAU